CAGCCGCCGCGGUAAUGCGAAGGGGGCUAGCGUUGCUCGGAAUGACUGGGCGUAAAGGGCGCGUAGGCGGAAUGCUUUGUCGGGCGUGAAAUCCCAGGGCUUAACCUUGGGGCUGCGUUCGAGACGGGUAUUCUAGAGUGGAGAAGAGGGUCGUGGAAUUCCCAGUGUAGAGGUGAAAUUCGUAGAUAUUGGGAAGAACACCGGUGGCGAAGGCGGCGACCUGGUCUUUUACUGACGCUGAGGCGCGAAAGCGUGGGGUGCAAACAGGAUUAGAUACCCCCGUAGUCCCUGUCUCUUAUAC
RNAcentral lists this ribosomal RNA (301 nucleotides) under uncultured bacterium. Its description in RNAcentral is "partial 16S ribosomal RNA". It matches the Rfam family "Bacterial small subunit ribosomal RNA", at positions 509 to 807 of the family's 1533-position model. The record is from RNAcentral.